UACGUAGGGUGCGAGCGUUAAUCGGAAUUACUGGGCGUAAAGCGUGCGCAGGCGGUUUUGUAAGCCAGAUGUGAAAUCCCCGGGCUCAACCUGGGAAUGGCAUUUGGGACUGCAAGGCUGGAGUGCGGCAGAGGAGACUGGAAUUCCCGGUGUAGCAGUGAAAUGCGUAGAUAUCGGGAGGAAUACCGAUGGCGAAGGCAGGUCGCUGGGCUGACACUGACGCUCAUGCACGAAAGCGUGGGGAGCAAACAGG
Molecule: ribosomal RNA, 253 nt
Filed under: uncultured bacterium
Lineage: Bacteria
Description: partial 16S ribosomal RNA
Rfam family: Bacterial small subunit ribosomal RNA
Source: RNAcentral